This 433-nucleotide ribosomal RNA is filed under the name uncultured bacterium. RNAcentral's name for it is "partial 16S ribosomal RNA". It matches the Rfam family "Bacterial small subunit ribosomal RNA", at positions 29 to 507 of the family's 1533-position model. The record is from RNAcentral.
AACGAACGCUGGCGGCAUGCCUAACACAUGCAAGUCGAACGAAACCUCCGGGACUUUUGGCGCACGGGGGUGUCACGCGUGGGAAGCUUCCCUUAUGUUCGGAAUAACUCCCCGACAGGGGUGCUAAUGCCGGAUAAUUUCUUCUAACCAAAGAUUUAUCGCCCUUGGAUGGGCGCGAGUUGGAUUAGCUUGUUGGGAGGGUAAUAGCCUCUCACGGCGACGAUCCAUAGCUGGUUUGAGAGGAUGCUCAGCAACACUGGGACGAGGACCCGGCCCAGAAUCUUACGGAAGGCGGGAGAGCGGAAUAGUGGAAAACCGCGGAAGGGCUGAUGCAGCAAGGCCGCGAGAGUGAUGAAGGCCGGAGAGAAGAAAAGCUCAUUUAACCGGGAUGAUAAUGACGGUACCGGGAGAAUAAGCCCCGGCUAACUACGUG